Molecule: long non-coding RNA, 624 nt
Organism: Macadamia integrifolia
Lineage: Eukaryota; Viridiplantae; Streptophyta; Magnoliopsida; Proteales; Proteaceae
Exons: 3
Source: RefSeq, a predicted model, not a curated record
UUUUAUUUUCCUUUUUCUUACCAUUUCUUUCCUCCUCCUCCUCUCCCUCUUCCUCCUUUGUCCGUUUCCCUUAGACCGCGCAAUCCAAGGGUAGGAUAUCCCUCCUCCCUCCCCUCCUCAAGUGGCCAGAGGGCGUGCGGUGAACGAACCUGAGAGUCAAUCUCUCAACCUAAGGGUUUCCCUAGUUGGACAUUCUCUGGUGAUGUCGAAGACAGACUUAUUCCUGAGGUCAGCAGUGUGACCUUGAUUCUAGGAAAGUAUAAUUAUGUCGAUCACAAACUAUUCAAUAAUGUCGAUGAUACGUGCAGGAUUGCAAUCGAUGACAACCGAAUUGUCUCUGGAUUUUCAACCAGAGCAAAGUUGGUAAUUAUUAUGCACCUAGAGAUGGGCGCUUGUGGGAUGCAGAGAUUGCUAGAUUGAAGGACGGGCUCAUCCCUCAAGCACACGAUCACAGGUUAUUCCAGGGGAGACUAGGAUGAGAGUAGAGAGGGUGAGGACAGCGAGGGUGAUGGCUGCGAGGAUCCGUAACUGUAUUUUCAGAAUUUUAAAACUAGAAUGUAAAUAUUCUUUUUUGAUUAUUAACCCCCAUGUGUGUGAAUGUGAAGGAUCUAUACUUUUUUUUAG